This 465-nucleotide ribosomal RNA is filed under the name uncultured bacterium. RNAcentral's name for it is "partial 16S ribosomal RNA". It matches the Rfam family "Bacterial small subunit ribosomal RNA", at positions 28 to 507 of the family's 1533-position model. The record is from RNAcentral.
GACGAACGCUGGCGGCGUGCUUAACACAUGCAAGUCGAACGGAAAGGCCCUGCUUGCCGGGUACUCGAGUGGCGAACGGGUGAGUAACACGUGGGUGAUCUACCCUGCACUUCGGGAUAAGCCUGGGAAACUGGGUCUAAUACCGGAUAGGAGCCAUUUUUAGUGUGAUGGUUGGAAAGUUUUUUCGGUGUAGGAUGAGCUCGCGGCCUAUCAGCUUGUUGGUGGGGUAAUGGCCUACCAAGGCGGCGACGGGUAGCCGGCCUGAGAGGGUGGACGGCCACAUUGGGACUGAGAGACGGCCCAGACUCCUACGGGAGGCAGCAGUGGGGAAUAUUGCACAAUGGGCGCAAGCCUGAUGCAGCGACGCCGCGUGGGGGAUGACGGCCUUCGGGUUGGAAACUCCUUUCGCUAGGGACGAAGCUUUUUGUGACGGUACCUAGAUAAGAAGCACCGGCUAACUACGUG